Molecule: long non-coding RNA, 611 nt
Filed under: Scleropages formosus (Asian bonytongue)
Lineage: Eukaryota; Metazoa; Chordata; Actinopteri; Osteoglossiformes; Osteoglossidae
Description: lncRNA (ENSSFOG00015026971.1)
Source: RNAcentral
UUUUAUUCAAUUAAAGGUAAUUUGAAAAAACUGUUCAAUGAACUUUCCACAUACUGUUCUCUCUGCGCAUGUCUAUAUACGUUUUCCCGCUUUUUUUAUGUCGUGGAGGUGGGGAUCUUUUUCACUAUCAAGGGUUUGCAACAGUACUGCGCGUUACGUAAAUUCGGUAUAACCCUGUCCAAGGAUCCUCAUUUUUGACUUAACGUGGUCGGAGCUGCUACCAGUGAAGGUUGUGAAAUGGUGGGCACACGACGCGGGGACGUCGAGAUAUCCGAAAAUUGCCCCAACACUUCAGGAUCAUCUGGAGCACCAAAAAGAGGCCCAACAUCUCCCAGUGUGUCCUCAUUGUCUUCAACAGACUAUGAUAACACCAUCAUUCAGGGACUGAACCGAGAGCGUGUGCAUGACCACGUGAGUUCUCUAUUCCUUGCUUUCCAAACAAUGUACAGGUGCAGCAUAUACAUAACGAUACAGUGUGAUGGAUAAAAUGAACCACAUAUUAGCAACAGCUACCGUACACACUCAACAUUUCAGUUUCACCAAAGGGGGGGGGGGGGGGGGGUAUUCAAAAUGAAACUACAAAAGUAAUAAAUGUGAGUAUUCUUAAAUCA